This 468-nucleotide ribosomal RNA is filed under the name uncultured bacterium. RNAcentral describes it as "partial 16S ribosomal RNA". It matches the Rfam family "Bacterial small subunit ribosomal RNA", at positions 28 to 507 of the family's 1533-position model. The record is from RNAcentral.
GACGAACGCUGGCGGCGUGCUUAACACAUGCAAGUCGAGCGGAGAGGCCCGGUUUUUGUGGCGUGCGCGAGUGGCGAGCAGGUGAGAAUCACGUGAGUAGACUCCCCUUGUCAUUGGGGUAACUUCAGGAAACUCGGGCGCUUACCGCGUAUAAGCUCCUGAUACACAAGGGGUGUGGUAGAGAUUCGCCGGUUCGGGAUGGACUGGCGGCUUAUCAGCGUGUUGGUGGGGUAGUGGCUUAACAGGGCUUUGACGGGUAGCCGGACUGCGAGGGUGACCGGCCACAUUGGGACUGAGGUACGGGCCAGACUCCUACGGGAGGCAGCAGUGGGGAAUAGUGCACAAUGGGCGGAAGCCGGAUGCAGCAAUGCCGCGUGCGGGAUGACGGCCGUCGGGUUGUAAAGCGGGUUCGCCUGGGACGAAGCGUGAGUGACGGUAAUGGGUAAAGAAGCAACGGCUAACUACGUG